GGCGAGAUGCCUGAGCGGUCCAGGGCGCCAGACUAGGGUUCAGCGCUGUCUGAAGUGCAGUGCAUCUGGUCCUCCGGGGCGUGGGUUUAAAUCCCACUCUCGUUG
Marasmius sp. AFHP31 is the source of this 105-nucleotide non-coding RNA. The record is from the annotation of a GenBank genome assembly. NCBI's taxonomy places the organism in Eukaryota, Fungi, Basidiomycota, Agaricomycetes, Agaricales, Marasmiaceae.